GGGCCCGCACAAGCGGUGGAGCAUGUGGUUUAAUUCGACGCAACGCGAAGAACCUUACCUGGUCUUGACAUCCUGCGAACUUUCUAGAGAUAGAUUGGUGCCUUCGGGAACGCAGUGACAGGUGCUGCAUGGCUGUCGUCAGCUCGUGUCGUGAGAUGUUGGGUUAAGUCCCGUAACGAGCGCAACCCUUGUCCUUAUUUGCCAUCAUUUAGUUGGGCACUCUAGGGAGACUGCCGGUGACAAACCGGAGGAAGUGGGGGACGACGUCAAGUCAUCAUGGCCCUUACGACCAGGGCUACACACGUGCUACAAUGGGGCGUACAAAGGGUUGCAAUCCCGCGAGGGGGAG
Molecule: ribosomal RNA, 349 nt
Filed under: uncultured bacterium
Lineage: Bacteria
Description: bacterial SSU rRNA
Rfam family: Bacterial small subunit ribosomal RNA
Source: RNAcentral